RNAcentral lists this ribosomal RNA (797 nucleotides) under uncultured Streptococcaceae bacterium. RNAcentral's name for it is "bacterial SSU rRNA". It matches the Rfam family "Bacterial small subunit ribosomal RNA", at positions 104 to 890 of the family's 1533-position model. Lineage: Bacteria; Bacillati; Bacillota; Bacilli; Lactobacillales; Streptococcaceae. The record is from RNAcentral.
GGGUGAGUAACGCGUAGGCAACCUGCCUCAUAGCGGGGGAUAACUAUUGGAAACGAUAGCUAAUACCGCAUAAGAGUGAUUAACACAUGUUAGUUAUUUAAAAGGAGCAAUUGCUUCACUGUGAGAUGGACCUGCGUUGUAUUAGCUAGUUGGUGAGGUAAAGGCUCACCAAGGCGACGAUACAUAGCCGACCUGAGAGGGUGAUCGGCCACACUGGGACUGAGACACGGCCCGGACUCCUACGGGAGGCAGCAGUAGGGAAUCUUCGGCAAUGGACGGAAGUCUGACCGAGCAACGCCGCGUGAGUGAAGAAGGUUUUCGGAUCGUAAAGCUCUGUUGUUAGAGAAGAACGUUGGUAGGAGUGGAAAAUCUACCAAGUGACGGUAACUAACCAGAAAGGGACGGCUAACUACGUGCCAGCAGCCGCGGUAAUACGUAGGUCCCGAGCGUUGUCCGGAUUUAUUGGGCGUAAAGCGAGCGCAGGCGGUUCUUUAAGUCUGAAGUUAAAGGCAGUGGCUUAACCAUUGUACGCUUUGGAAACUGGAGGACUUGAGUGCAGAAGGGGAGAGUGGAAUUCCAUGUGUAGCGGUGAAAUGCGUAGAUAUAUGGAGGAACACCGGUGGCGAAAGCGGCUCUCUGGUCUGUAACUGACGCUGAGGCUCGAAAGCGUGGGGAGCAAACAGGAUUAGAUACCCUGGUAGUCCACGCCGUAAACGAUGAGUGCUAGGUGUUAGGCCCUUUCCGGGGCUUAGUCCGCAGCUAACGCAUUAAGCACUCCGCCUGGGGAUACGACCGCA